UUCGGCCCGCUAUAUUGUAGAAGAAGAAGGGGGCCUUGUUUCGUACGAAAGAAAUGGCUUCGAUCUCGUUUCGUCGAUCAUUCUCGGUCUCUCGUCGCUCAGUCUUGGUCUCGCUCUAAAUCAUCAGCUCGUUUUCCGUUCCGCAACGUAUCGGCCUUUGGAAGAACCCUUAAUGGAGGCCGGCGAGGCAGGUUUCGUACGCCUUGGCUUAAGAGGUUCUCCCAUCGAGAUCGGACUCGGAGCUCUGUUUGUGCUUUUGGUUGUCUUCGAUUUCCUGAGUUUCAUAGGCCGCGUUUUUUGGCAGACCGUUCUAUAUGAUGCAAGUUAUAUAAACCAAAGAGUGGCGGUGCUAACACUCGUUGCUGCCAUCGUAUUCACCCGCACAACGUCCUUAGGCCCCUCCAGAAAGGCAAAAUACUACCUCGCUAUCGGUAUUGUUCUAUAUAUGGCUUCGGAGUUUCAAGAGAUUUUAUGGCUCAAUGUACUACCUGGA
Molecule: ribosomal RNA, 493 nt
Filed under: Gloeochaete wittrockiana
Lineage: Eukaryota; Glaucocystophyceae; Gloeochaetales; Gloeochaetaceae
Description: partial Eukaryotic large subunit ribosomal RNA
Source: RNAcentral